RNAcentral lists this ribosomal RNA (253 nucleotides) under uncultured bacterium. RNAcentral's name for it is "partial 16S ribosomal RNA". It matches the Rfam family "Bacterial small subunit ribosomal RNA", at positions 524 to 776 of the family's 1533-position model. The record is from RNAcentral.
UACGAAGGGGGCGAGCGUUGUUCGGAAUUACUGGGCGUAAAGGGCGCGCAGGCGGCUCUGCAAGUCAGAUGUGAAAGCCCCGGGCUUAACCUGGGAAUUGCAUUUGAUACUCUGGAGCUUGAGUACGGGAGAGGAGAGUGGAAUUCCCAGUGUAGAGGUGAAAUUCGUAGAUAUUGGGAGGAACACCGGUGGCGAAGGCGGCUCUCUGGACCGUAACUGACGCUGAGGUGCGAAAGCGUGGGGAGCAAACAGG